CCUACGGGUGGCUGCAGUGGGGAAUAUUGGACAAUGGGGGCAACCCUGAUCCAGCCAUGCCGCGUGUGUGAAGAAGGCCCUCGGGUUGUAAAGCACUUUCAGUGAGGAAGAACGCCUGGUGGUUAAUACCCAUCAGGAAAGACAUCACUCACAGAAGAAGCACCGGCUAACUCCGUGCCAGCAGCCGCGGUAAUACGGAGGGUGCGAGCGUUAAUCGGAAUUACUGGGCGUAAAGCGCGCGUAGGUGGCUUGAUAAGCCGGUUGUGAAAGCCCCGGGCUCAACCUGGGAACGGCAUCCGGAACUGUCAAGUUAGAGUGCAGGAGAGGAAGGUAGAAUUCCCGGUGUAGCGGUGAAAUGCGUAGAGAUCGGGAGGAACACCAGUGGCGAAGGCGGCCUUCUGGACCGACACUGACACUGAGGUGCGAAAGCGUGGGUAGCAAACCGGAUUAGAUACCCUAGUAGUC
Molecule: ribosomal RNA, 465 nt
Filed under: Vreelandella stevensii
Lineage: Bacteria; Pseudomonadati; Pseudomonadota; Gammaproteobacteria; Oceanospirillales; Halomonadaceae
Description: partial 16S ribosomal RNA
Rfam family: Bacterial small subunit ribosomal RNA
Source: RNAcentral